RNAcentral lists this microRNA precursor (52 nucleotides) under Pteropus alecto (black flying fox). RNAcentral's name for it is "mir-1302 microRNA precursor family". It matches the Rfam family "mir-1302 microRNA precursor family". Lineage: Eukaryota; Metazoa; Chordata; Mammalia; Chiroptera; Pteropodidae. The record is from Rfam by way of RNAcentral. RNAcentral also lists the same sequence under 1 other name.
UUUGUAGUAUAAGUAUGUUCUAUGCAAUAUUUAGAAUAUACUUACACUAUCA